UGAGGAAUAUUGGUCAAUGGACGAGAGUCUGAACCAGCCAAGUAGCGUGCAGGAAGACGGCCCUAUGGGUUGUAAACUGCUUUUAUAAGGGAAUAAAGUGAGUCUCGUGAGACUUUUUGCAUGUACCUUAUGAAUAAGGACCGGCUAAUUCCGUGCCAGCAGCCGCGGUAAUACGGAAGGUCCGGGCGUUAUCCGGAUUUAUUGGGUUUAAAGGGAGCGUAGGCCGGAGAUUAAGCGUGUUGUGAAAUGUAGAUGCUCAACAUCUGCACUGCAGCGCGAACUGGUUUCCUUGAGUACGCACAAAGUGGGCGGAAUUCGUGGUGUAGCGGUGAAAUGCUUAGAUAUCACGAAGAACUCCGAUUGCGAAGGCAGCUCACUGGAGCGCAACUGACGCUGAAGCUCGAAAGUGCGGGUAUCGAACA
This 422-nucleotide ribosomal RNA is filed under the name uncultured prokaryote. RNAcentral's name for it is "bacterial SSU rRNA". It matches the Rfam family "Bacterial small subunit ribosomal RNA", at positions 355 to 774 of the family's 1533-position model. The record is from RNAcentral.